This 866-nucleotide long non-coding RNA is filed under the name Setaria viridis. RNAcentral describes it as "long non-coding RNA (SVIR_LNC009816)". The record is from RNAcentral. Lineage: Eukaryota; Viridiplantae; Streptophyta; Magnoliopsida; Poales; Poaceae.
UCAAAAGUUGCAGGCUUAGCCUGAAAGUAAAUCACUGCAUCCAACACCAAAACUCACAGAGCUAUUGUAAAACAGGAUUUCAGAACGUCACAAUUCAGGCAAGGCAAGACAUAUGUAAAACCCCCAACACUCAGUACGUGUUCAACAACGGCAUCAUAUAUAGAAGAUGAUGGGUCAUAAACAUAUCAUCACACAAAACAUAACUUUCUGUCCUCUUACAUCCUAUUAUUUUGCUAUCAGUGACGGGCUAGCAGUAGGCAGGAGAAAGAAUGUAGAAGCUUUAAAAGAGUGGCAACAGAGCCAGAAUUGGACGUAGUUUACAAAUUCCACCGAUCAAAAGCUGCAUCAGAAUCAAGGAGGGCAGAGACGAUGGAGCAUUGGCUCAAAACAAUCUAACCGAGCAAGGAGAAGGUGCUGGGCACGCGCAAGAAGGUUGACGACGCGAGACUCACAUCACAGAAGCAGCAGCACCAGCUUCUUCACAGCAGCAGCAGCAGCAGCAGCAACCAUGCACUCUGAAGUAGCAGGAGCAAGUCAUGUAGCAACGCUGGCGAUGGGAGCAGUUGUGAUGGAGUUCCCAUGGCUUCUUCAGCAUUACACCCAUACGUCUCCAUCUCGCUCUCACACAUCUUUGGAAGAUCUUGUGCGUGUAUAUAAAUUGCUGCAGAGGGGAUCGGGCUUCUAGUGCAUGGAGAAAGAACCGCAGAUGACGGCAGGACUCCACAUGUGCUGGUUUGGCUAGUUCGACCGAACUGGAGUGAGAACAAUUCAAGGAUCACGAGUAGGGGACAGAGGCAAGAUAUGAUGAGCUGGGAGGGGCCUCAUGGCUGUGAUGUUCCGAUCUUGUAAUAGUGGCAUCUGUGGUU